Molecule: RNase P RNA, 369 nt
Filed under: Saprospirales bacterium
Lineage: Bacteria; Pseudomonadati; Bacteroidota; Saprospiria; Saprospirales
Description: RNase P RNA component class A
Rfam family: Bacterial RNase P class A
About the family: Ribonuclease P (RNase P) is a ubiquitous endoribonuclease, found in archaea, bacteria and eukarya as well as chloroplasts and mitochondria. Its best characterised activity is the generation of mature 5'-ends of tRNAs by cleaving the 5'-leader elements of precursor-tRNAs.
Source: RNAcentral
GCACUGCAUCGCUCUAUCGCGACCCUCGUUUGAUCGAUGGUUGAGGAAAGUCCGGACAACGUAGAGCACCGUACCGUGUAAUAAACGGACCCUACUGUACAGUGGGGAUAGAAAGUGUCGCAGAAAAUAACCGUCUCUUGCUUGUCAGGAGAUAAGGGUGAAAAUGUGAGGUAAGAGCUCACGAUGUUAAUGGGUAACUGUUAACGUGGAUAAACCUUAUGGGUUGUAAUGCCAUGUAUAUUAUGAUUCGGCCUAGGUCGACGAGAGCUGCUCGCUCAAGAAUACCAAGUCAUAAGGGGUAGGCAGCAUAGAUAAAUGAUAGAGCAUCAGAAAUGAUGACAGAAUCCGGCUUAUAGAUGUAUUUUUAAA